RNAcentral lists this ribosomal RNA (504 nucleotides) under uncultured bacterium. RNAcentral's name for it is "partial 16S ribosomal RNA". It matches the Rfam family "Bacterial small subunit ribosomal RNA", at positions 29 to 523 of the family's 1533-position model. The record is from RNAcentral.
AUUGAACGCUGGCGGCAGGCCUAACACAUGCAAGUCGAACGGUAGCACAGAGAGCUUGCUCUCGGGUGACGAGUGGCGGACGGGUGAGUAACGUCUGGGAAACUGCCCGAUGGAGGGGGAUAACUACUGGAAACGGUAGCUAAUACCGCAUAACGUCGCAAGACCAAAGUGGGGGACCUUCGGGCCUCACACCAUCGGAUGUGCCCAGAUGGGAUUAGCUAGUAGGUGGGGUAAUGGCUCACCUAGGCGACGAUCCGUAGCUGGGCGGAGAGGAUUACCAGCCACACUGGAACUGGGACACGGUCCAGACUCCUACGGGAGGGAGCAGUGGGGAAUAUUGCACAAUGGGCGCAAGCCUGAUGCAGCCAUGCCGCGUGUAUGAAGAAGGCCUUCGGGCUGUAAAGUACUUUCAGCGGGGAGGAAGGCGGUGAAGUUAAUAACUUCACCGAUUGACGUUACCCGCAGAAGAAGCACCGGCUAACUCCGUGCCAGCCGCCGCGGUAA